RNAcentral lists this ribosomal RNA (460 nucleotides) under uncultured bacterium. RNAcentral's name for it is "bacterial SSU rRNA". It matches the Rfam family "Bacterial small subunit ribosomal RNA", at positions 339 to 796 of the family's 1533-position model. The record is from RNAcentral.
AUACGGGAGGCAGCAGUAAGGAAUAUUGGACAAUGGAGGCAACUCUGAUCCAGCCAUGCCGCGUGCAGGAUGAAGGCCCUAUGGGUCGUAAACUGCUUUUGUAUGGGAGAAAACCAUUUCACGUGUGAGAUGUUGAUAGUACCAUAAGAAUAAGGAUCGGCUAACUUCGUGCCAGCAGCCGCGGUAAGACGAAGGAUCCAAGCGUUAUCCGGAUUCAUUGGGUUUAAAGGGUGCGUAGGCGGAUUUGUAAGUCAGUGGUGAAAGCCGAUAGCUCAACUAUCGAACUGCCAUUGAUACUGCAGAUCUAGAAUAUAGAUGAUGUUGGCGGAAUAUGACAUGUAGCGGUGAAAUGCAUAGAUAUGUCAUAGAACACCGAUUGCGAAGGCAGCUGACAAAACUAUUAUUGACGCUGAUGCACGAAAGUGCGGGGAUCAAACAGGAUUAGAUACCCGUGUAGUCC